Molecule: long non-coding RNA, 2968 nt
Organism: Apus apus (common swift)
Lineage: Eukaryota; Metazoa; Chordata; Aves; Apodiformes; Apodidae
Exons: 12
Source: RefSeq, a predicted model, not a curated record
GAGAUAUCUUUAAGGUCUCUUCCAACCCAAACCAUUCUAUGACCUUUUCUUGCUUUACUACAUUCCUGUGAGAAAGUCGAAGUUCUUACCUACUGGGACAGAUGGAGUCACUGCAUCAGUAAGGAAACCUGGGCAGGUCACAGCAGUUCUGCAUCAUGUGACAAAGACGACACACACCUCAGAUGUCUGUGCCACUAUGGAGCUGCUCUCUCACGUUGUGCUGAAAAGCUCCAGCUCUUUCCCUGACAAUACCUCAGGCACUUUUCUCUGCUGUUGCUUUUCCUCAGACUCACGGCAUCACCCAGAACCUCCUAAGAAUGCCACCAAAAGAGGCAAGCAGUGAAGAUCCACUAGUGCUUUUAGGUAAACGUUGAUGGAGUUGAGAACUUUCCUGAACCUACUCGAGAGGCAACCAAUCGACACAGCACCACGGGGCCUCGUGUGUCCAGGGGGAAAAAUCCAGAGGACUGGAUCACAGAAAAUGCAGUAGCUUGUCAAAUUCCAGAAAUGUUCCCACGUUAAUUGCAAGCCCCUUUGCCAUCUUAUUUCUGCAAAAUGUGACAUAUUUAAACAUUGCCAAAGAAUGCACUUCUUAAAUGUCAGUAUGUUUUUAGGAAACACAAAGGCUGCAAGAUGUAUGUCAAAACCCCAGGUUCCCUAGAUGGGGGACGCCACAGAAAAUCUUUCCCCAAAGAAGCUUCGGAAAUUUCAGUCUGAUACGUGGUAAUAAUGCAACUAUGUGACAGCUCUUGAGAAUGCUGUCAUUGCCAGCCCUGUUUGGACUGGACUGUGUCAGACAACCACAGACUGAAAAAGCAGUGGUCAGCCUUGCUUGCUCUCAUGUACUUUAAUUAGGCAGUCAUGAGAGGAACCAACACCUACUCAAAAAUUUACCCUCUUGUUGCCAUGUCUUUAAGCCUGCAAUUCCCAAAUAAUCCCCACAUGUGAAAAGGUAAAAAAAAAAACGCAAACUCCUGUUUGCUUUGCUUGAGGCUUGGGAAAUAUGAACUUUUAUCAUUCUGCUGAGCAGCUGGUGACAGCAGAACUAAAAUGCCAAAGAGGUAGAUAGUGGGAGUUUUACAGCAUGCCUGUUUACGUUGCCUCAUCUCCUUUGUGCUAGAUUCCUCUGUAGCACAUCCUGUCCAUUUGUCACCAAGAAAUAAGAUAUAGUGACCAAGAGAAAGUUGCUUCAAGUGAAGGAUUAAUUUCAUACCAUGUAAGAAAGAUGCCUAUUGAUACUGCAUGAGAGGAACACUUAUCAUGCUGAUGAAUUUCAUGUAGCUGAUAGUGUCAGGCACCAAAGAUUCAGUUUCAGCAUUGCAUCCUCUGCAACUCUUGCAAGGUCUGAGGCCCAGUUGAACACCAGCACACUUUCAAGUUGAAGCGUUGUUUCAUUGGAUGGCAUGGGAAGUUUGAAUCCUCACUAUUCUGUGUAAGGUUCAAAUCCUCAGUCAUUCUGUAGUAGCCCUGAUGAGAUGUAGAAUAGACAGUGAGGUUCCAAAGGCUUCCAGUUGUUAUAUAUCAAUAGCUGUUACACUGUGAAGAGAAAAAUAAUGUUUUCAUUAUUGCUAAAUGGAUCUUUAACUUAUGGGUACUAAAUGUCCUAAAAGGUAAGGAAUUUUUUUGUGCUCCACCUCCAUGAAGGGCAAAGUACAAGCAUUUUCAGAACUUUCCAUGGGAGGAAAAAUAUUGUUAAUAUCUUCUCAAUUUGGCAGCAGCAGCAGUGUACCUACACAACCCCUACUGAUGGAUUAGACCAAGAACAAGACUAGAUGACAUGCUGGAUGCCUUCAGGUAGACGGAUUUCUGCAAAAGCACGUCAAUUUUUAUAAGGAAUACAUUUCUGCAAGUAUUGCUAAACUGUAAAAAAAAAUAUCUCUGUGACCAAGAGUUCAACUCAAAAUUCAUGCAAGCAAAAUUUCAGCUGCUGCUGCACACAGUUCAUGGGCUGUUAACAUCAUUAGAAUCCCAGAGAGCACUGCUUUGUCAACAGUGUUAUUAGCAGCCACAGAGCCAAAGUACAGUCAGUGGUUCAGUGUUGCAAGAGUGGAAGAAGUUACGGCUAAUAUGUCACACAGCGGAUGGGAAACAAGCUGUGCAGAGUAAGAUUUGCUGAAGAUUUGUGGUUCCUGAGUGAUCUGCUAAAAACAACUUCAAGCAAGUUCUGCUCCCCAGCUGAACUGCAGCAACCAUGCUCCACACAGCAGUUUCAGGUAAAUCCUUGGGCCACAUCCCCAGCCUCUGCAGCCGCAUACGCCUUGGAACCAUAGCAGAUGCUUGUCUUCUUGCAUGCCAGGUUAUCUUCUGCCGUCGGCAUCAUUUGGGGGCUUUGCCUACGACUCUCCAGAGUUGUAUGUCGCUCUUCUCUUGUCCUCAUGCUCACUCAGCCAUGCUGAAUUAUCUUCCACUCCUCCCUCUGGGAAUAACUAAGGCUUUGACCCAGCGGGACUGGUUGUGUGCUUAAAUGCUUUGAUGGACCAGACACUGAGCUGCUUGCUCCCAAAUCUAAGAAACUCUUGCAUCUGCACAAGAAAGCAACAACUUCUUCCACUAUGCAAGAGGAUGCUGACAACUCAAUUUUGGUCAGUUACUGCCAAACUCAACUUGCAACAGUCAACUCAUGUCAGAAUAGAAAGGGAUUUUUUAUGUCAAGGCUUGCCACAUGCAAAUCCUUUCUUUUGAUCCUCUAAUCAGUGUGAAAUCUGUAAAGUAAUUUGUAGGAAACAAGAACUGGGUUUAUCGACAGCUGUAUUAGAAACAAGAGAAAAUGAGAUGCAGAAAGGUGUUCCAGACCACAGUCUUUCAUUCCUGUGAUAGUUCAUUUUCAAAGUGGUACUGGCAUAAGCCAAAAUAUCUGCCUGCAUUGCUUGAAAAGCAAUAAGGUUCCCAUUCCAGGAACAGAAGGUCUUGAUCCAGUCACGGUGCAGCUGGAUGAUGCAACGAUUGCUAAAUAGAAAAGUGAUGGCAG